CCUACGGGAGGCAGCAGUGAGGAAUAUUGGUCAAUGGGCUUACGCCUGAACCAGCCAAGUCGCGUGAGGGAAGACUGCCCUAUGGGUUGUAAACCUCUUUUGUCAGGGAGCAAUUGGCGCUACGUGUAGCGUUAUCGAGAGUACCUGAAGAAAAAGCAUCGGCUAACUCCGUGCCAGCAGCCGCGGAAAUACGGAGGAUGCGAGCGUUAUCCGGAUUGAUUGGGUUUAAAGGGUGCGUAGGCGGAAUGCCAAGUCAGCGGUAAAAUCGCGGGGCUCAACCUCGCUCCGCCGUUGAAACUGGCGUUCUUGAGUGGGCGAGAAGUAUGCGGAAUGCGUGGUGUAGCGGUGAAAUGCAUAGAGAUCACGCAGAACUCCGAUUGCGAAGGCAGCAUACCGGCGCCCAACUGACGCUGAAGUACGAAAGCGUGGGUAUCGAACAGGAUUAGAUACCCCGGUAGUC
This 460-nucleotide ribosomal RNA is filed under the name uncultured bacterium. RNAcentral describes it as "partial 16S ribosomal RNA". It matches the Rfam family "Bacterial small subunit ribosomal RNA", at positions 338 to 795 of the family's 1533-position model. The record is from RNAcentral.